This 1728-nucleotide ribosomal RNA is filed under the name Pseudomonas aeruginosa. Its description in RNAcentral is "partial 23S ribosomal RNA". It matches the Rfam family "Bacterial large subunit ribosomal RNA", at positions 1 to 1773 of the family's 2925-position model. Lineage: Bacteria; Pseudomonadati; Pseudomonadota; Gammaproteobacteria; Pseudomonadales; Pseudomonadaceae. RNAcentral also lists the same sequence under 1 other name. The record is from RNAcentral.
GGUCAAGUGAAGAAGCGCAUACGGUGGAUGCCUUGGCAGUCAGAGGCGAUGAAAGACGUGGUAGCCUGCGAAAAGCUUCGGGGAGUCGGCAAACAGACUUUGAUCCGGAGAUCUCUGAAUGGGGGAACCCACCUAGGAUAACCUAGGUAUCUUGUACUGAAUCCAUAGGUGCAAGAGGCGAACCAGGGGAACUGAAACAUCUAAGUACCCUGAGGAAAAGAAAUCAACCGAGAUUCCCUUAGUAGUGGCGAGCGAACGGGGAUUAGCCCUUAAGCUUCAUUGAUUUUAGCGGAACGCUCUGGAAAGUGCGGCCAUAGUGGGUGAUAGCCCCGUACGCGAAAGGAUCUUUGAAGUGAAAUCGAGUAGGACGGAGCACGAGAAACUUUGUCUGAACAUGGGGGGACCAUCCUCCAAGGCUAAAUACUACUGACUGACCGAUAGUGAACCAGUACCGUGAGGGAAAGGCGAAAAGAACCCCGGAGAGGGGAGUGAAAUAGAACCUGAAACCGUAUGCGUACAAGCAGUGGGAGCCUACUUGUUAGGUGACUGCGUACCUUUUGUAUAAUGGGUCAGCGACUUAUAUUCAGUGGCAAGCUUAACCGUAUAGGGUAGGCGUAGCGAAAGCGAGUCUUAAUAGGGCGUUUAGUCGCUGGGUAUAGACCCGAAACCGGGCGAUCUAUCCAUGAGCAGGUUGAAGGUUAGGUAACACUGACUGGAGGACCGAACCCACUCCCGUUGAAAAGGUAGGGGAUGACUUGUGGAUCGGAGUGAAAGGCUAAUCAAGCUCGGAGAUAGCUGGUUCUCCUCGAAAGCUAUUUAGGUAGCGCCUCAUGUAUCACUCUGGGGGGUAGAGCACUGUUUCGGCUAGGGGGUCAUCCCGACUUACCAAACCGAUGCAAACUCCGAAUACCCAGAAGUGCCGAGCAUGGGAGACACACGGCGGGUGCUAACGUCCGUCGUGAAAAGGGAAACAACCCAGACCGCCAGCUAAGGUCCCAAAGUUGUGGUUAAGUGGUAAACGAUGUGGGAAGGCUUAGACAGCUAGGAGGUUGGCUUAGAAGCAGCCACCCUUUAAAGAAAGCGUAAUAGCUCACUAGUCGAGUCGGCCUGCGCGGAAGAUGUAACGGGGCUCAAACCACACACCGAAGCUGCGGGUGUCACGUAAGUGACGCGGUAGAGGAGCGUUCUGUAAGCCUGUGAAGGUGAGUUGAGAAGCUUGCUGGAGGUAUCAGAAGUGCGAAUGCUGACAUGAGUAACGACAAUGGGUGUGAAAAACACCCACGCCGAAAGACCAAGGGUUCCUGCGCAACGUUAAUCGACGCAGGGUUAGUCGGUUCCUAAGGCGAGGCUGAAAAGCGUAGUCGAUGGGAAACAGGUUAAUAUUCCUGUACUUCUGGUUACUGCGAUGGAGGGACGGAGAAGGCUAGGCCAGCUUGGCGUUGGUUGUCCAAGUUUAAGGUGGUAGGCUGAAAUCUUAGGUAAAUCCGGGGUUUCAAGGCCGAGAGCUGAUGACGAGUCGUCUUUUAGAUGACGAAGUGGUUGAUGCCAUGCUUCCAAGAAAAGCUUCUAAGCUUCAGGUAACCAGGAACCGUACCCCAAACCGACACAGGUGGUCGGGUAGAGAAUACCAAGGCGCUUGAGAGAACUCGGGUGAAGGAACUAGGCAAAAUGGCACCGUAACUUCGGGAGAAGGUGCGCCGGCUAGGGUGAAGGAUUUACUCCGUAAGC